RNAcentral lists this ribosomal RNA (518 nucleotides) under uncultured bacterium. RNAcentral's name for it is "bacterial SSU rRNA". It matches the Rfam family "Bacterial small subunit ribosomal RNA", at positions 32 to 524 of the family's 1533-position model. The record is from RNAcentral.
AAUCAACGCUGGCGGCGUGCCUCAGACAUGCAAGUCGAACGCGAAAGGUUCCUUCGGGAGCCGAGUAGAGUGGCGCUCGGGUGAGUAACACGUAGGUAAUUUGCCUUUGGGUGGGGAAUAACAAUCGGAAACGGUUGCUAAUACCGCAUAAUGCAGCGGCUCGACAUCGAGACAGUUGUUAAAGCGGGGGAUCCUUCGGGACCUCGCGCCUAAAGAGAAGCCUGCGGCGGAUUAGCUAGUUGGUGAGGUAAUGGCUCACCAAGGCGACGAUCCGUAACCGGCCUGAGAGGGCGGACGGCACACUGACACUUAAAUACGGGUCAGACUCCUACGGGAGGCAGCAGUCGGGAAUUUUGGGCAAUGGGCGAAAGCCUGACCCAGCAACGCCGCGUGAAGGAUGAAAUCCCUCGGGAUGUAAACUUCGCAAGAACGGGAAGAAUAAGCGAGAGUAAAUACCUCUCGUGAUGACGGUACCGUUUGUAAGCUCCGGCUAACUCCGUGCCAGCCGCCGCCGUAAU